AGUGAACGCUGGCGGUAGGCCUAACACAUGCAAGUCGAACGGUAGCACGGUAAGAGCUUGCUCUUACGGGUGGCGGGUGGCGGACGGGUGAGGCAUACAUCGGAAUCUACUUUUUCGUGGGGGAUAACGUAGGGAAACUUACGCUACUACCGCAUACGACCUACGGGUGGAAGCAGGGGAUAUUCGGACCUUGCGCGAUUGAAUGAGUCGAUGUCGGAUUAGUUAGUUGGCGGGGUAAAGGCCCACCAAGGCGACGAUCCGUAGCUGGUCUGAGAGGAUGAUCAGCCACACGGGAACUGAGACACGGUCCAGACUCCUACGGGAGGCAGCAGUGGGGAAUAUUGGACAAUGGCCGCAAGCCUGAUCCAGCCAUACCGCGUGGGUGAAGAAGGCCUUCGGGUUGUAAAGCCCUUUUGUUGGGAAAGAAAAGCAGCAGGUUAAUACCCCGCUGUUCUGACGGUACCCAAAGAAUAAGCACCGGCUAACUUCGUG
This 492-nucleotide ribosomal RNA is filed under the name uncultured bacterium. Its description in RNAcentral is "partial 16S ribosomal RNA". It matches the Rfam family "Bacterial small subunit ribosomal RNA", at positions 29 to 507 of the family's 1533-position model. The record is from RNAcentral.